CCAGCCUGCCCAGUGACUUUGUUCAACGGCCGCGGUAUCCUAACCGUGCGAAGGUAGCGUAAUCACUUGUUCUUUAAAUGAGGACUAGUAUGAAUGGCACCACGAAGGUUAUACUGUCUCCUUUAUCUAAUCAGUGAAACUAAUCUUCCCGUGAAGAAGCGGGAAUAAACAUAUAAGACGAGAAGACCCUAUGGAGCUUUAAACAAGUAUACAACUGCCUUUCCUAUUUUAAAAUUUCAGAAAACAAACCAUUAUUUAGGCAUUUUGGUAUAAAGUUUUAGGUUGGGGUGACCACGGAGAAAAAUGUAACCUCCGCAAUGAACGGGGCUUCCCCCUUAACUAAGAGCUACGACCCUAAGAAUCAAUAAAUUGACAUCAAUUGACCCAAUAAAUUUGAUCAAUGAACCAAGUUACCCUAGGGAUAACAGCGCAAUCCACUUCAAGAGCCCCUAUCGACAAGUGGGUUUACGACCUCGAUGUUGGAUCAGGGUAUCCUAGUGGUGCAGCCGCUACUAACGGUUCGUUUGUUCAACGAUUAAAACCCU
This 545-nucleotide ribosomal RNA is filed under the name Leptodactylus mystacinus (moustached frog). RNAcentral's name for it is "partial large subunit ribosomal RNA". It matches the Rfam family "Bacterial large subunit ribosomal RNA", at positions 1854 to 2597 of the family's 2925-position model. The record is from RNAcentral. Lineage: Eukaryota; Metazoa; Chordata; Amphibia; Anura; Leptodactylidae.